AGCAGCGAGAGCCUCGGCAAGGCGGAAGGUGCGCCCACUUUUAGUCUUUUUCAGUGCGGUUUUACUUUUGCCCUCCCAAGCCCCUUCUGGGUGAAAAGACUAGAAUCUACUGAACGCCUACUCCAAGUCAGCCGUUUAUUUCUGUUAUAUCAUAUAAUCAACUCCUUGAGUCCAGGAUUUUCCCUAUUUAAGGAUUUAAAAAAAGAACCUUAGAGUUGUUUGUUGACCGAAGAGACCCAGGUUUUCUGUCUUUAGAAAAUUAAUGACCUCCUCUCAAUAGGAUCUGACCUGUUGUCAACUCCAAGAAUUACGAAUAAAUAAGAUGAUGGUUUAUAAUUGUAGCAUGGUGUUUUAAAGUAUUUUCCAUUUACUGGCCUGUUUGGAUGUGAGGGCGUUCUGGCUAUCUUGUCACCCCAUAGAUCGCCAGGGCUGAUUCGGCUGAUCUGGCUGUCUAGGCGGGUGGCCCCUUCCUCCCGCACCUCUCCAUGUGCGUCCCUCCCGAAGCUGCAUAUUCGGUCGAAAAGGAGGAGCAUCCCCCAUAGAAGAGGACAAGUCAAGGAUAUAGGAGUAGCUGCACGCCCGUGUUAACAAGCUCUCAAGGUCCUCUAAACAAGCUCUCAAGGUCUACUUACUGGCCUGUUUUAUCCCAAGCUAGUUACA
Molecule: long non-coding RNA, 660 nt
Filed under: Homo sapiens (human)
Lineage: Eukaryota; Metazoa; Chordata; Mammalia; Primates; Hominidae
Description: non-protein coding lnc-UBAP1-6:3
Rfam family: 7SK RNA (bases 382-635)
Source: RNAcentral